RNAcentral lists this long non-coding RNA (1357 nucleotides) under Astyanax mexicanus (Mexican tetra). RNAcentral describes it as "lncRNA (ENSAMXG00005017127.1)". The record is from RNAcentral. Lineage: Eukaryota; Metazoa; Chordata; Actinopteri; Characiformes; Acestrorhamphidae.
AUUGCUGUGACUGACUGUGACUAGCUGUGAUUAGCUUAGGCAGCCUUAAACUCCCCUCAGACCAGAGAGGCAUUUGUGAAAGAAAGUCUCCUGGUUUCUGUCUCAUGGUUUUAAACCUGCUUUUCAGUGUUGAGGCCAGAACAGCAACUGUACUUUAUGCUGGGUCUGACAUAGGGUUGAGACAGCAUUCCCUCACAUCUCUUCUUCUUCUCUGGAGCGCUCUGUGUCAGUGUCUGUAGAAUAAAGUGGGUCUGAGAGCUUCACAAUGCACUGCUGAAACUUCUAGAAACUUCUUCAGGCCCUGGGGAUUAGAGGACUUGGCUUUUUGUUUGUCAUUAUAAAUAUGUAUAAACUUGCAGGCUGACAUAUAUCGUACAAAUCACUCAAGUGCUAAACUCUCUGGAACACACACACACACACUCUCACACACACUCACACUCCCAGACACUCACUCACAGACACUCACGCGCAUGCAAGAAUGAUCAAAGUGAACCGUGCUCUGUGAGAAACAGAGUCUUUUUUAGCUGCGUUCCCAGAAUGCACUGACAUUCAGGAGUCUAUAGUAAACAUUUCAGCAUGGCCCCAGGCCCACAUUUUGUGAUUCCAACACAACCCCCCCCCCCCCCUCCAAACCCCCCCACACACGUGUGAGUGACAUUUCGCCGCCUCUUUGCUUAAGAUGUUCAAUCUCGGCCUGCAUCUACUGCGUUUUCCUUUAACACCUUGAUGUGUCGGUGCCCUCUCCAAAUCACAGUGGGGACUUUACAUUCAAUUACUUUCAGCGAUUCUGCAAAAUGUCAGAAAGAAAUGACGGCAGGCCCUGUCCGGCACGCCGCCUCUGAAGAUGGAGAUUUGGAAUCAUGGUCUACUUUGAAAGUCAUAUGCAGUCUGCGCCUCUGCAGGUCAGCCGGUUAUUGAAGAUCAGUGCGCUGUUCCAGAGUCAGAAAAACACUACUUCUGCCACUGAUACCACUGAGACCUCACACAUCAUGUUCAGGCCAUCACAGUGUCCGAGUUUACCCAACACUCACACUCUGGACUGGUUGUACAGGUGAGUCUGGUAGAUCAGUACCGGCAGGUGAACCAGGAAGUUGCGCAGUGAAACAGAAACUUUCACAGCAGAGCUCCACUGUGCUGCAGUACACACUGACAGACAGACAUACCGACAGAGAGACAGACAGGUGUUUGUAGAGUAGAGUUAGUUCAGUAUUAAUGUGUAAUGAGUUUACAGCAUGCACGGCUCUGUUCGCUACAGUAAGCUAGCCUCAGCAGAGCCCGCGGAGGAGCCGCAGAGUUCCCGCGCUGAGGAGCAGCAGCAGGAGGAGGAGAGUGACGGGGGAGAGGUGACAGUUUACCU